UAUCUCUGUAGAGUCUGCAUAUCAAUAAGCGGAGGAAAAGAAACUAACAAGGAUUCCCUUAGUAACGGCGAGUGAAGCGGGAAGAGCUCAAAUUUGAAUCUUCAAGGUUCUACCUUGACGAAUUGUAGUUUAAAGAAGUGUUUUCUGUUAGAUGAGUAGCAAAAGUUCCUUGGAAUGGGACAUCAUAGAGGGUGAGAAUCCCGUAUUUGGUUAUUCAUUCUAGCUUUGUGAUACACUUUCAAAGAGUCGGAUUGUUUGGGAAUGCAGUCCAAAAUGGGUGGUAAAUUUCAUCUAAAGCUAAAUAUUGGCGAGAGACCGAUAGCGAACAAGUACCGUGAGGGAAAGAUGAAAAGAACUUUGAAAAGAGAGUUAAACAGUACGUGAAAUUGUCAAAAGGGAAGCGUUUGACACCAGUGUUGUUUUUCCGAAAAUCAAUUACGAAUGGCUUGAUUUUGUGUUGUAUUGACCUUAUCAGCUUUCUUCACUUUUUUCGAGUCUUUCUUAAUGCACUUUUCGGUUAACAAGUCAACAUCAAUUUCUUUUGUUGUAAAAGAGUAUUCGGAAGGUGGCUUUCUUUUCGGAGAAAGUGUUUAUAGCCCUAUACUUCUACAAUCGGAGAGAUUGAGGUCUGCAGCGUAGAUCCUUCGGGGUUAGAUACACUUGUGCUAAGUUGUAGCUUUUCAUAGACAACUUGUUGACUAUGUUUAGUCAUGCGGCUUACUCGCUUGUGCUAUUUUACCUACGCUUAGGAUGUUGAACUACUGAGACAUAGA
Molecule: ribosomal RNA, 773 nt
Filed under: uncultured Neocallimastigales
Lineage: Eukaryota; Fungi; Neocallimastigomycota; Neocallimastigomycetes; Neocallimastigales
Description: partial large subunit ribosomal RNA
Rfam family: Eukaryotic large subunit ribosomal RNA
Source: RNAcentral